CCCUUAGAUGUUCUGGGCCGCACGCGCGCUACACUGAUGCAUUCAACGAGUCUAAAACCUGCUCUGAUAGGGGUGGGUAAUCUUUUGAAUGUGCAUCGUGAUUGGGAUAGAUGAUUGCAAUUUUUCAACUUCAACGAGGAAUGCCUAGUAAACGCAAGUCAUCAGCUUGCAUUGAUUACGUCCCUGCCCUUUGUACACACCGCCCGUCGCUCCUACCGAUUGAAUGAUCCGAUGAAUAUCAUGGAUUGAGGAUGCAAGUAGGUUCGCCUAUCUUCAUCUUCGAGAAGUGAAGUAAAUCUUAUCAUUUAGAGGAAGGAGAAGUCGUAACA
This 329-nucleotide ribosomal RNA is filed under the name uncultured eukaryote. RNAcentral's name for it is "partial 18S ribosomal RNA". It matches the Rfam family "Eukaryotic small subunit ribosomal RNA", at positions 1470 to 1796 of the family's 1831-position model. The record is from RNAcentral.